ACUGUGAACAGCCACCCAGGCGCGCUCUGCCUGAGAGUCUCAGGGGCUGUGCUAGAGGCGCCUCUGGCCGUGGUCCUCUCAUGGCUGGGCUUCCUAGCCCCCACGCUGGUGGGUGGGGUUCGGGUGCGCUUGAGCUGGAGAGCAGAGGGCCUCUGCAUGUUGGGGUGAGCCCACCAACAAGACAGGAGUAGCCUUCUGUAGACUCAGAAGUGCCUCCCCACUCUCCUGUCGGAAGCGAGUUGCAGGUCCCACCUGCUCCUGGGGGUGGGGGGCACAGCUGACUUCAGGAGCCCAGCUUGAGCCACCUCUCAGCGACCUUGGUGAGGGGCGGCUCACCUGUGGAGGGCUCGCCUGUGAAGGGACAUCCCCAGACUUGGGAGCGGGUGGCAGCCAGGGUUAGGGCAUUAGGGCUUGGAUAAAGGUUAGGGUUAGGGUUAGGAUUAGAGUUACAGUCACGGUGAUGGUCAGGGCAUAUGGGCUAGGGUUAGGGCGUUGGGGUCAGGACCAUGGGUUCUGGCUAGCACUGUGGAGACGGCCGUUUCUAUCACGCAGGAAUUGAGGAUUCCGCCAUUCCAACCCCAGAUUCGAGGGAGGCAGGGGUGUGGACGGUACCAUGCCUCAAUCCUCACAGCCUCUGUCUCCCACUGCCCAGGCUGGCCAAGAAGUCCUGGUUUGGGAACUUCAUCAGCCUGGAGAAGGAGGAGCAGAUCUUCGUGGUCAUCAAAGACAAACCUCUGAGCUCCAUCAAGGCUGACAUCGUGCACGCCUUCCUGUCGAUUCCCAGCCUCAGCCACAGCGUCAUCUCCCAAACGAGCUUCCGGGCCGAGUACAAGGCCACGGGGGGACCAGCCGUGUUCCAGAAGCCGGUCAAGUUCCAGGUUGAUAUCACCUACACGGAGGGUGGGGAGGCGCAGAAGGAGAACGGCAUCUACUCCGUCACCUUCACCCUGCUCUCAGGUGAGCUGGCGCCCCCAGGGUGGCUCCGGGCCCAGGCCCGUCCAGGGCAUAACCCCCUGUCUCCCCUAGGCCCCAGCCGCCGCUUCAAGAGGGUGGUGGAGACCAUCCAGGCCCAGCUGCUGAGCACACACGACCUGCCCGCGGCCCAGCACUUGUCAGAACCCCCCCCACCAGCGCCAGGACUAAGCUGGGGUGCUGGGCUUAAGGGCCAGAAGGUGGCCACCAGCUACGAGAGUAGCCUCUGACGCUGGCAGACACCACUAACUGUAUGGAAAUGAUGACGGGGCGGCUUUCCAAAUGUGGAAUUAUCCCGAAAAGUUAACAUGUCACCUCCACGAGGCCAUCCUCUGUGACCGAAGGCAGCUGCUGCGGACCCGCCCUCCCUCCGCUCCUGCUGUUGCUGCCGGGCAGUGAGGCCCAGCCCAGCGCCCCGUCCACCCCGCGGCAGCUCCUCGCCUCAGCUCCGCACGGCCCGUGGGAGGAGGGCCAGGCUCCCGGUCACCUGACCCCUCGGCAAGAUCAGCCUGCCUGGCGGCCUUCUGGGGCCGGGACCCCCGGUGGGCAAAGUAGCCACAGAAACAGACCCCGUCCACCGCCUCCACGCCGCACCUGGAGGCCUCCUCGCUGGCCCGUGCCCCGCCUCCCUGGCAGCGCCGCCUCCGUGUAGUCUUGGCCUCCUCAGGCUGCCUCCCGUCCUCUCAUCUCACCCGCGCCUCCCUUGCCUCAUCUGGGGCGGCUGUGGGCUCUGGCGCUCCUCUCUGGCUGAGGUGGAAACAGAGAGACCCUGGGGUACCAGAGCCUUCCCGGCAGGCCAGGCCGCUGGGCUGGGAUCAGUGUUAUUUAUUUGCUGUUUUAAUUUAUGGAUUCUCUGCAUCUCUGUUCAGGGAAGGGCGGCGGCCACAUCCCCUGCCGUCUGCGCGUCUCAGGCAGUGGGGGGGCUGGGGCCAGGGCGCCCUCUGAGGACAGAGCUGGUGGGGCGCGGGGGGGGCUGGCGAGCUACUGUAAACUUUAAAGAAUUCCUGCAAGAUAUUUUUAUAAA
RNAcentral lists this small RNA (1996 nucleotides) under Pongo abelii (Sumatran orangutan). Its description in RNAcentral is "retained intron". Lineage: Eukaryota; Metazoa; Chordata; Mammalia; Primates; Hominidae. The record is from RNAcentral.